AACGAACGCUGGCGGCGUGCUUAACACAUGCAAGUCGAACGCGAAAGGGACUUCGGUCCUGAGUAAAGUGGCGCACGGGUGAGUAACGCGUGGAUAAUCUACCCGAUGGACCGGGAUAACAUUUCGAAAGGGGUGCUAAUACCGGAUAAGACCACGAGCACUUAGGUGUUUGCGGUAAAAGGUGGGGACCUUCGGGCCUACCGUUAUCGGAUGAGUCCGCGUACCAUUAGCUAGUUGGUGGGGUAAGAGCCUACCAAGGCGACGAUGGUUAGCUGGUCUGAGAGGAUGAUCAGCCACACUGGAACUGAGACACGGUCCAGACUCCUACGGGAGGCAG
This 337-nucleotide ribosomal RNA is filed under the name uncultured Pseudomonadota bacterium. RNAcentral describes it as "bacterial SSU rRNA". It matches the Rfam family "Bacterial small subunit ribosomal RNA", at positions 29 to 351 of the family's 1533-position model. The record is from RNAcentral. Lineage: Bacteria; Pseudomonadati; Pseudomonadota.